Molecule: long non-coding RNA, 315 nt
Filed under: Mytilus galloprovincialis (Mediterranean mussel)
Lineage: Eukaryota; Metazoa; Mollusca; Bivalvia; Mytilida; Mytilidae
Source: RNAcentral
GACCCCCUGAACUACCUUAAUCAUAAAUGUUAUUAUCAUGAUUAUGCAAACUCAACAGACAUUGUAGAAUGAAAACUCUUUUUUUAUGAUACAUACUGACUGUAGAAAAAGAAUGUUUGUGGAAAUUUAACAAAUACAGUAGCAUACUACCAAAAGAAAUGAUUGGAAUAUUCAUUCAAAGGUCACAACAAAUCUGGAACCCACACCCAACAAGCUCUGAAUAGCCCAGAUAUAAAUAUAUAAUCAAUCAAGCUGCAUAUAUGUUGAGAUAGUAAAUUUUACUUUUUUCCCACUUUUAAAAAAAAUGUUUAAAAU